Molecule: ribosomal RNA, 433 nt
Filed under: uncultured bacterium
Lineage: Bacteria
Description: partial 16S ribosomal RNA
Rfam family: Bacterial small subunit ribosomal RNA
Source: RNAcentral
AACGAACGCUGGCGGCAUGCCUAACACAUGCAAGUCGAACGAACGCAUCAGCCUUUGUGGCGCACGGCUUUGUCACGCGUGGGAAUCUGCACUUGGGUUCGGCAUAACUGUUAGAAUUGGAUAAUUAUGCCGGACGAGGACGAAUAUCCAAAGAUCUAUUGAAUGAGGAUGAGCACGCGUAGGAUUAGCUAGUUGGUGUGGUAAUGGAGCACCAAGGGGACGAUCCUUAGCUGGUAUGAGAGGCUGAUCAGCAACUCUGAGAGGCAGACACGGCCGAGACUCCUACGGGAUGCAGCAGUGGGGGAUAUAGCACCGUGGGGGCAAGCCUGAUCCAGCUAGGCCGCGUGAGUGAUGAAGGCCGUAGGGUUGUAAAGUGCUUUUAACCGUGAAGAUAAUGACAGUAGCGGGUGAAUAAGCCCCGGCUAACUCCGUG